GAUGAACGCUGGCGGCGUGCCUAAUACAUGCAAGUCGAGCGAACAGACGAGGAGCUUGCUCCUCUGACGUUAGCGGCGGACGGGUGAGUAACACAUGGAUAACCUACCUAUAAGACUGGGAUAACUUCGGGAAACCGGAGCUAAUACCGGAUAAUAUAUUGAACCGCAUGGUUCAAUAGUGAAAGACGGUUUUGCUGUCACUUAUAGAUGGAUCCGCGCCGCAUUAGCUAGUUGGUAAGGUAACGGCUUACCAAGGCGACGACGCGUAGCCGACCUGAGAGGGUGAUCGGCCACACUGGAACUGAGACACGGUCCAGACUCCUACGGGAGGCAGCAGUAGGGAAUCUUCCGCAAUGGGCGAAAGCCUGACGGAGCAACGCCGCGUGAGUGAUGAAGGUCUUCGGAUCGUAAAACUCUGUUAUUAGGGAAGAACAAAUGUGUAAGUAACUAUGCACGUCUUGACGGUACCUAAUCAGAAAGCCACGGCUAACUACGUG
Molecule: ribosomal RNA, 497 nt
Filed under: uncultured bacterium
Lineage: Bacteria
Description: partial 16S ribosomal RNA
Rfam family: Bacterial small subunit ribosomal RNA
Source: RNAcentral